ACAUGCAAGUCGGACGGCAGCGCAGGAGAAGGCUUGCUACCUAUGUGGUGGCGAGUGGCGAACGGGUGAGUAACAUAUCGGAACGUACCGAGUAGUGGGGGAUAACUGAUCGAAAGAUUAGCUAAUACCGCAUAUUUCUUGAGAGGGAAAGCAGGGGACCUUCGGGCCUUGCGCUAUUCGAGCGGCCGAUAUCUGAUUAGCUGGUUGGUGGGGUAAAGGCCUACCAAGGCGACGAUCAGUAGCGGGUCUGAGAGGAUGAUCCGCCACACUGGGACUGAGACACGGCCCAGACUCCUACGGGAGGCAGCAGUGGGGAAUUUUGGACAAUGGGCGCAAGCCUGAUCCAGCCAUGCCGCGUGUCUGAAGAAGGCCUUCGGGUUGUAAAGGACUUUUGUCGGGGAAGAGAAGGUUGGUGCUAAUACCCCCGGCUGAUGACGGUACCCGAAGAAUAAGCACCGGCUAACUACGUGCCAGCAGCCGCGGUAAUACGUAGGGUGCGAGCGUUAAUCGGAAUUACUGGGCGUAAAGCGGGCGCAGACGGUUACUUAAGCAGGAUGUGAAAUCCCCGGGCUCAACCCGGGAAUUGCGUUCUGAACUGGGUGGCUAGAGUGUGUCAGAGGGAGGUAGAAUUCCACGUGUAGCAGUGAAAUGCGUAGAGAUGUGGAGGAAUACCGAUGGCGAAGGCAGCCUCCUGGGAUAACACUGACGUUCAUGCCCGAAAGCGUGGGUAGCAAACAGGAUUAGAUACCCUGGUAGUCCACGCCCUAAACGAUGUCGAUUAGCUGUUGGGCAGCCUGACUGCUUGGUAGCGAAGCUAACGCGUGAAAUCG
RNAcentral lists this ribosomal RNA (830 nucleotides) under Neisseria meningitidis. RNAcentral describes it as "bacterial SSU rRNA". It matches the Rfam family "Bacterial small subunit ribosomal RNA", at positions 53 to 867 of the family's 1533-position model. The record is from RNAcentral. Lineage: Bacteria; Pseudomonadati; Pseudomonadota; Betaproteobacteria; Neisseriales; Neisseriaceae.